GUCGCAAGACCAAAGUGGGGGACCUUCGGGCCUCAUGCCAUCAGAUGUGCCCAGAUGGGAUUAGCUAGUAGGUGGGGUAAUGGCUCACCUAGGCGACGAUCCCUAGCUGGUCUGAGAGGAUGACCAGCCACACUGGAACUGAGACACGGUCCAGACUCCUACGGGAGGCAGCAGUGGGGAAUAUUGCACAAUGGGCGCAAGCCUGGGG
Molecule: ribosomal RNA, 208 nt
Filed under: Klebsiella pneumoniae
Lineage: Bacteria; Pseudomonadati; Pseudomonadota; Gammaproteobacteria; Enterobacterales; Enterobacteriaceae
Description: partial 16S ribosomal RNA
Rfam family: Bacterial small subunit ribosomal RNA
Source: RNAcentral